Molecule: regulatory RNA element, 46 nt
Organism: Cavia porcellus (domestic guinea pig)
Lineage: Eukaryota; Metazoa; Chordata; Mammalia; Rodentia; Caviidae
Rfam family: Histone 3' UTR stem-loop
About the family: The mRNAs of metazoan histone genes lack a poly-A tail. 3' end processing occurs at a site between a highly conserved stem-loop (modelled by this family) and a purine rich region around 20 nts downstream (the histone downstream element, or HDE).
Source: Rfam
UCAAAGGCUCUUUUCAGAGCCACUCAUAUUUUCGAAAGAGAACUGU